CACGUAGUUAGCCGUCCCUUUCUGGUAAGAUACCGUCACAGUGUGAACUUUCCACUCUCACACUCGUUCUUCUCUUACAACAGAGCUUUACGAUCCGAAAACCUUCUUCACUCACGCGGCGUUGCUCGGUCAGACUUCCGUCCAUUGCCGAAGAUUCCCCUACUGCUGCCUCCCGUAGGAGUCUGGGCCCGUGUCUCAGUCCCAGUGUGGCCGAUCACCCUCUCAGGUCGGCUAUGUAUCGUUGCCUUGGUGAGCCGUUACCUCACCAACUAGCUAAUACAACGCAGGUCCAUCUGGUAGUGAUGCAAUUGCACCUUUUAAGCAAAUGUCAUGCAACAUCUACUAUUAUGCGGUAUUAGCUAUCGUUUUCCCAAUAGUUAUCCCCCACUACCAGGCAGGUUACCUACGCGUUACUCACCCGUUCGCAACUCAUCCGGAAAGAGCAAGCUCCUCCUUCAGCGUUCUACUUGCAUGUAUUAGGCACGCCGCCAGCGUCGUCC
RNAcentral lists this ribosomal RNA (500 nucleotides) under uncultured Streptococcus sp. RNAcentral describes it as "partial 16S ribosomal RNA". The record is from RNAcentral. Lineage: Bacteria; Bacillati; Bacillota; Bacilli; Lactobacillales; Streptococcaceae.